GAAAGACUGACACCUAAAAAAGAAAAAAUAAAAAGUGAAAAUGAAAAGAAAAUGAGCAUUAACAACAAGAUUCUACUGACUUCUAUCAAAAUUCAUCCCUGUAUAUCUAUGAAGAAAAUAAAACAAGUUUUUACCACCAGUCCCUCCGGUACUGAUGAGUAUACGUUAUUCCAAAGCAAGUGAUUACUUGGAUAGUGCAGCUAACACAGGGCCACAGUACAAGCAAGUACAGAGCCUUUUCAUCGGUAUAUUUCCAGGUAUUCC
Anas platyrhynchos (mallard) is the source of this 264-nucleotide long non-coding RNA. RefSeq lists it as uncharacterized. Lineage: Eukaryota; Metazoa; Chordata; Aves; Anseriformes; Anatidae. The record is from RefSeq and is a predicted model, not a curated record.